Molecule: long non-coding RNA, 369 nt
Filed under: Phoenix dactylifera (date palm)
Lineage: Eukaryota; Viridiplantae; Streptophyta; Magnoliopsida; Arecales; Arecaceae
Description: long non-coding RNA (PDAC_LNC011030)
Source: RNAcentral
AAAUAUGAAAUUUGGUAGAAAUACCAAAAAUACCCUUCAGUGGCAAGUUACCGUGCAAUUCAAUCCUUUAAUCAAACUGCAUCCCAAAUAUAUAUAUGAGUAUGAAUAUAUGUCAAACUCAAUUUCAUAUCCAAAUUUUUCUCAAUCUUUUAAUGAUAAUUCAAAUAAUGAAACAUUAGAAACUCUUUCUAAUUUUCAUUCUGCUUUGAUCAAAGGCUUCCUGAAUUAUCAUAUAAUUAGAAUAAAUAGGAUACUUUCUUCUCUUACUAGAAGUGAUUAAUUCCUUGUUUACCUACUUAUAAUCUUCGUACACAAUUCACCAUAUCCAGAAGACCUCGUGCACAACUUAUUGUCAUGAAUGAGUGUAAA